UAGGGAAUAUUGCGCAAUGAACGAAAGUUUGACGCAGCGACGCCGCGUGAGGGAAGAAGGUUUUCGGAUCGUAAACCUCUGUCAAGAGGGAAGAAGUGUAUGCGCUCUAACAUAGCGUGUACUUGACGGUACCUCUGAAGGAAGCACCGGCUAACUCCGUGCCAGCAGCCGCGGUAAUACGGAGGGUGCGAGCGUUAAUCGGAAUUACUGGGCGUAAAGCGCGCGUAGGCGGAAGCCUAAGUCAGGAGUGAAAUCCCCGGGCUUAACCUGGGAAUAGCUUUUGAUACUGGGUUUCUUGAGUUCAGGAGAGGGUGGCGGAAUUCCAGGUGUAGGAGUGAAAUCCGUAGAGAUCUGGAGGAACAUCAGUGGCGAAGGCGGCCACCUGGACUGAUACUGACGCUGAGGUGCGAAAGCGUGGGUAGCAAACAGG
RNAcentral lists this ribosomal RNA (430 nucleotides) under uncultured bacterium. RNAcentral describes it as "bacterial SSU rRNA". It matches the Rfam family "Bacterial small subunit ribosomal RNA", at positions 355 to 776 of the family's 1533-position model. The record is from RNAcentral.